UGUAGUCCGGUGUUUUGUAGCAUUCUUUGUUUUGGUUGAAGAGGGGAUUAGUUAUCGGCUACAU
RNAcentral lists this transfer RNA (64 nucleotides) under Diplostomum spathaceum. RNAcentral's name for it is "tRNA-Gln". The record is from RNAcentral. Lineage: Eukaryota; Metazoa; Platyhelminthes; Trematoda; Diplostomida; Diplostomidae.